UAUUGCACAAUGGGGGAAACCCUGAUGCAGCCAUGCCGCGUGUGUGAAGAAGGCCUUCGGGUUGUAAAGCACUUUCAGUAGGGAGGAAAGGUAGCAGCUUAAUACGCUGUUGCUGUGACGUUACCUACAGAAGAAGGACCGGCUAACUCCGUGCCAGCAGCCGCGGUAAUACGGAGGGUCCGAGCGUUAAUCGGAAUUACUGGGCGUAAAGCGUGCGCAGGCGGUUUGUUAAGCGAGAUGUGAAAGCCCCGGGCUCAACCUGGGAAUUGCAUUUCGAACUGGCGAACUAGAGUCUUGUAGAGGGGGGUAGAAUUCCAGGUGUAGCGGUGAAAUGCGUAGAGAUCUGGAGGAAUACCGGUGGCGAAGGCGGCCCCCUGGACAAAGACUGACGCUCAGGCACGAAAGCGUGGGGAGCAAACAGGAUUAGAUACCCUGGUAGUCCACGCCGUAAACGAUGUCUACUCGGAGUUUGGUGUCUUGAACACUGGGCUCUCAAGCUAACGCAUUAAGUAGACCGCCUGGGGAGUACGGCCGCAAGGUUAAAACUCAAAUGAAUUGACGGGCCCCCCGU
This 571-nucleotide ribosomal RNA is filed under the name Shewanella sp. RNAcentral describes it as "bacterial SSU rRNA". It matches the Rfam family "Bacterial small subunit ribosomal RNA", at positions 362 to 926 of the family's 1533-position model. The record is from RNAcentral. Lineage: Bacteria; Pseudomonadati; Pseudomonadota; Gammaproteobacteria; Alteromonadales; Shewanellaceae.